GACUUCUCCUCUUUGCUCCAUUCUGCAUGCCUGCAGCAACGAAGAAGCCAGCGGAAACAGAAGCAGCCAGCAACACCAGCUCAACCGCCGUUCAUCUCCUUCGUGUGAACCUCUGGCUUCGCUUUAAUUUCCUCGGCUGUUCUUCUUUUUCUUUUACUUCACUGAAGCUGCAGCGCCACAUGUCCACGGCCUACCUUCCCUCAGUCAACAAAACCAUCAAGUUUUCCCUUUUGUUGACCGUAAGCCAGCAAAGCCCACGUCUUCCCUCCACCGAAACUGAAGCCGCUCCUCCAUCCGUGUCUUCUGCCAGGCGUCGUCCACUUCUUCGGUCAGCAGACGCAUGUUUUAUCGACCUGCUUUCCACAGGAUUGAAGUCGGCGCGCGUCCUCUCUCCAGCUCGCCAACACCACCGAAGGAGGAAGUCUCCACGCGUCUUCAGCUCACGCCUACGUCAACGAACGGUGGAGCUCUCCUCUUUGUUGACUCCCUUAUGACCCAGAUGAAGCUGCUCCUUCUCGCCACUUCAACGCCACGGUUCCAUCGAAAUUUCAUGGGCCCAAGAACUCCGUGAUUCUCAAGCGAGUAGCCCAAUAACAGUCCACUUCGCAGCCCAAAUGAUCAGCAUUUUGGUCCAUCAAGCAGCCUGCCGUUUGACAUCUUGAGGCCCAGCAAUUUCCUUGUGAACUCAGCCCAUCAUCAAUUAGAAUUGAAGCCCAGCAAAUUUUGGCCCAAGCUUCAGCCCAAGUUGUUUGAAAGGCAGGCCCAAUUCAGCUUUGUUUCAAGCCCAAGUUCAGCCGCCGUUGCGUCGUCGUCGCAGUGUCCCGGUCUUCGUUUUGUGCAAGGUCUUAGAUGGAAGAUCUUCAAGAGGAGGAUUCCAUGAAAAGCUUGGCGAGGAAUCAGAGGAGGGUGAAGAGAAUGAUUUUGAGUACGACCUGCAGAAGGAUUGAAACCUCCCCCAUUUUGAAAACCUUGUGAAUAUUUGUAGAUUUGUUAAAUCAGACCUUGGUGAAUAGUACUGUGAAGUAUAAUGAAAGCCUGUUAUGCUAUGUAUAAAAGUGUGGUUAUGCGUUUUCAAUAUGAAAAUAUGGCAUUGCUUUUC
Molecule: long non-coding RNA, 1099 nt
Organism: Eucalyptus grandis
Lineage: Eukaryota; Viridiplantae; Streptophyta; Magnoliopsida; Myrtales; Myrtaceae
Exons: 2
Source: RefSeq, a predicted model, not a curated record